CUCCUGGCGUUCUAUUGUGUUCCGUCUGCAUUUCGACACGGCACCGCUGCACUACUGGACUACAGCAAGCUGAUGGCAUCCGGUGGAACUUCGUACGGAAACGACUGCUGCUUAUCUGGUGCCAUGAUUUGGAUGAAUGCAGAAGAAGCCCGGAACGAGCAUUUAUAGAGAGCAAAAUAAACAUUUCAUCAUUUCAAA
Molecule: long non-coding RNA, 198 nt
Filed under: Dermacentor andersoni
Lineage: Eukaryota; Metazoa; Arthropoda; Arachnida; Ixodida; Ixodidae
Description: uncharacterized LOC126538310
Source: RNAcentral